Oryctolagus cuniculus (rabbit) is the source of this 13882-nucleotide non-coding RNA. The record is from RefSeq and is a predicted model, not a curated record. Lineage: Eukaryota; Metazoa; Chordata; Mammalia; Lagomorpha; Leporidae.
UGAGCCCUGAGCUGCACACCUGUCAGGCAUUGCCAUGGGGCAGGGCCACGGGGAGGGCAUGUUCCCUGCUCCUGCGGGUUCUCCCCUGGAGCUGCUCUGAGAGGACCCACCUCCCCACCUGCGCUUGCAGAAGCCAGGCUCGUCCUCUCAGAAGCCUCUGCCCGCGCCAGGCUCCUGUUCACCAGCCCACCACGGCCCAGCUCUCUCUCAGGAAUUCCAGGAGCGCUUGCUGUGGACCACAAGGACCUUGCUUGUGCGAGGCCUUUGGUAUUCACCAAGCACUUUCAUCUGUGGCGUUUAGCCCGUGCAGCAAUCUCACGUGACAAGAAUCAUUUCCGGUUCACAGAGGAAGAAACCAAGGAGGCUCCCAGAGAUAGAGGAACUUGUUCAGCUAGGCUCAGAGGCCACCAAACGCCCAGGCUAGUUGGGGCUGUAAGAAGAGCGGCGAUGGACAAGAGGGUGACUUUCAGCUUUUCCACUGCAAGGUCUGUGUCUGAAAGCUUCUUAAUCCCUAUGUGCCUCAGUUUCCUUGUUUGGGAAAGGGAGUACUUAGCUCGAAGUUGUGAGGAAUUAGUUGGUGCAGGAAUGUUCCUUUUGAAAAGCUUUUGUUCGCUUGAAAGUGAGGGAGUGUACUCCCAUGUGUCAAUUCCACAAAUGCUCAAAAUGGCUGAGAUGGCCAGGAUAAAGCCACGAGCCAGGAACUCCACCCGGGUCUACCAGACAAGUGACAAGGACCCAGCUAGAGCCAUCACUGUGGCCCCCCAGGGCGCUCAGCAGAGGGGAGCUGGACCUCCAACCCAGUACUCAGGAUCUUGAACCGCUACGUCGAAUGCCCGCCCUAAGAAGGGCACUUGGAGUGCCACAGGUGCCCAGAAAUAAGCGCUCUAUCAACAGCAGCUGCUGGCGUGCAGGAGUUCCCCAGUGGCGUUCACUCUGCUGUGAGCUCCUGAGCUGCAGAUAUGCGUGCUGGGCCAAGUCUCUUGUGAUGCCUGUGAUGACGACAGAAAGACAGAAGGGUCUGGGGGACACAGGACAUCUGGUCUGAGUGCACACAGACGACAACCCUUGGAUACCAGCAAGCCAGGUACUGUAAUGCUCCUUCAAUAUCACGUUUAUAGGAUUAGCUAUACAUUUUCCACUAGUUUUAGUGCAAAGUCAACAAUGCAUGACAUGGUAAGAGAAAUACUUGCAAACAAUUUCCCUAAAAAGCAAAGGAAGAAACUGUAGAUAUUCGUUGUCUGUUACUGCAUAGCACAUUGCCUUACUACUCCUAGGGGUCACAAAACCAAGUCCUAAAAAUAAUAUUACCUGCAGAGGACAUCGGUUUGUGUGUCCAAUCGCCUUAUUAAAAUUCAGGCACAAUGCCCUACACCUGAUCUCUAGGAGGUGUUUUUUUGUAUAAAUGAGACUUCAUACCUCUUGAACAGCAACUCUGCUUUUCUCCCUCUCCCCAGCUCUGGUCACUGCCGUUCCACUCUGUGUUUCUCUGAGUUUAACUCUCUGAGCUACUUCACAUAAAUGGAAUCACACAGUACUUGUCUUUCUGUAAUAGGCUUCUUUCACUUAACAUAAUGUCCUGUGUGUUGAUCUAUUCUGUUUCCUAAGACAGAGUUUCCUUUCUAAGGCUGGAGAGUAUUUCAUUGCACGUACAAGUAUAUGCCACACGUUCUUUAAUCUUCUAUCUCCUGAUGACCGUUUGAGUUGCUUCCAUGUCUUGGCUGUUGUGAAUUACAUUGUAAUGAACAUGAGAGUGCAUGUAUCUUGAAAUCCUGACUUCAGUUGUUUUAGAUAAAUACUAAGCAAUGGUCUUGCUGGAUUAUAAUAUAAAUCUAGGAAUUUUGCCCCCAGAAGUCAGGCUUUAGAUACCAUACUUCGAUCCCCACCUCCAAACUGUGCUCUUUGGACAAUGGGUAGGCCACUAGGCCAAUCACCUUCUCUUGCUGGGAACAUGGUGUUCAAGCUGAGAGCCAGGGAGCAAGGUCACCCAGGGUGCAGAUCCAGCACAGGUUUCCAAAGGGCUAUUUCAGCCUCACCUGACGAGCCUAGAAAAACAACUUUCCAGGACUCAAUCCAAGCAUAAUGGAUCUGAAUAUCCAAUGGAGGACCCUUAGGAUCUGUAUUUUAUGAAUUUCCUAGUCAAUUAUGAAGUUCUGUCAAAUUUGUAAACCACAGCAAAGGCAAACUCACAAAUUCCUGACCUGAGGUCCCCAGAGCCAACCUGAUUCCUCCUUGGAUUCCAGGAGACAUCUCCACAUUCUUCCAAUGACUUUGCAUCCUACUGUGUACUAUAGCUGGGGCUGGCUUCUGCAACUGCAGUUGAAUGAGAGAGUCCACAACCCCUGGCACUGUAGCCACCUGCGGAGUCAUUGGCUCUACAAUCUCUGCUGUUCUAAUGCCCUUCUAUAGAGUGUGUUCCCUUGUGUGGCUCUCAGACAUCCAAGAAGGGGGGUCCCCAAGAACAAGACAGCUGAUGGAGGAGUUUAAAAUACCAAGUGAUGGGGGGGAACCUGUGCGCUCUCGGAUGUGUUUCUGGCUUCACUAAACCCACCCUUGACCUCAGGUGCUCAUUCUAGUGAGAGGCAGUGAAGGUUGUAUUUUCUCUUUUAUAUGUGUAUUUUGUGUAUCUAAUGGAUGUAAGGAUGGUUCUAGGCUAAUGCUAUCCAGUAGAAUUUUCCAUGAUAAUGGAAAAUCCUAUAGUAGGCUAUCAUCUUGUGUUUAUUACUGCUGAGCCCUUGAAAUGUCACUAGUUUUAGGACCUGAAUAUUUUAACUAAUUUAAGUAGCCACACCCGGUUAACGGGUCUUGUUUUGGACAAUGCAGUGCUAGGUAUUUUACCUAAUUAUGUCUGCAGGGUGGAAAGCACAAGCUUAGUUUUCUAGGUUAGGAAACUGAGACUCAGGGAACACUCACAUGGUGGACGUCACCAAAUGAGACAGGGAGACGAUUCAGAUCCACAUUCCGCAAGCGAUACAACUGCUUCAUCGACAACACACACACAGUGCGUGUAAGACUGAGAUAGGGGAUUAAGGAAGACUGAACAUCCCAUCUCUUGGGCAUCAGCUCUGUUUUAGUUACAAGGCCAAAACAGAAAGGGAAGCCACGAUGCAGGACACACACACUAUCAAUUCGGCCUAACCAUGCCGAUGGGCCCGCCAACUGGCUUGGCGGGUGCCUCCAGCCGUCCUGGCUCGACACGGGCCUUGCGGUAGAGCAUGUUUUAUAGCACGCUGAAAACUGCAAGAUAGCUCAGCCUCCAAGAACAAAAGUGAUUGCAGGGUGAAGAGGGAAGGGGGCCAAGAGGCGGGGCUGCCCAUUUCCCAGGGUGGACGGCACGUCGAACAAGCCACAUCCAGGACUUUAAAACACCGCUCGGCUGGAAGACGGCCCCCGCUGCCGCCCCCGCUCACCGCGCCCCGGGAAAACUCCAUUUCGAACAGUUACGGUCAGCCAUUUAAAUCACAUUACGCUGUAAGUGGAUAUACAAAUUGUCAGCCCUAAUGAAAUUUAGGAGGAAGCAGUGGGAGAGGUGAAAACACUUAGGACUGGUUUCUUGGUUUUCGAGACCCGGCUUCAAGUGGUUUAAGCUGCUCUCUGGGAACGCGCUUGGCGUGCGGUUUUGCUGCCAGCGUCUGGAGGCGAGGCAGGGAGUUCAGGCCGCAUCUUCUGCCCGGAUUCCCUCAGGAAUUGCACCGCGAACUAGACCCCCAUCUAGACAAUGAGCGCCUCGCGGAAGGCGAGAGGGUCUUACCCAUUUCGGCCCCCCGCCCCGCGCUGAAGGACUUGUCACACACAGGCACCGAGAGGUGCGGAAUGAAAGCCAAGCAGCUCCCACGCACGGCUUGCUUCACCAGCUUCAGAGGAGGUCCCCGGAAAAGAAGUCGACCUCUGCCCCGGAAGUGCUUCCGCCAACGACCAGGAACUGCUUCCGCCAAAAGCCAGGGAGGCCAGAAGGGCGGCAGAGUGCAGAGUCAGACUCCGCCCUCCUUCCGCCUCCUGAGGCGAUGCGCCAGGCAGUGUGUUGGACUAACCGAUGAAUUAUCUGCCGGCAAAUAAUUUAUCAGGCUUCUUGAUCCAGGGCAGAAGGAGACUUGGCAGAAGUGAGGGCUUGCAGAUUAAGAUAAUCAUGUAAUAGCUACCAUUUGUUAGUGAUGACGUCUGCCUGUCACUGCACAAACCCUGUCGAGAGUAAUCCUCAGAAAACUCCUGCCCAGGGACUGGGGUUUGCCCCUUUCAGAGAGGAGCAAAUGGAAGCUCAGAAAGGUCGAGGAACUAGCCCAAGAUCACAUAGGUCGUUUUGGUUGCAGAGCUGGUAGUUUUGCCAGUCUGCACACCCCUCCCCCCCUUCGCAGAGUGCCCCUGGAUGGCUUGGGAGGGAUGUGGGUACGGUAACAGGAGGACAUGCCAAAGAGCGGCCUUCCCUACAUGAAGUAUCAUUUACAUACAUAAAUGUACCAUUUACAUUCUCUCUUUUCCCAAAGAUAAGCUUCUGAGGUCCUAUUUUCCACCUCCAUAUAGCAUCCAUUUCCAGGGUCUCGAGAUCACUGAAGAAAUCCAACUCACUCCUGGGUUCCAUCCAAACUCUUGUUCCUGUACCAGAUGUUGAGGCCCAGAGAAGGCGAAGAAUUUGCCCAAACCCACACAGCAAAAGGUGGCCAGAGGGCAACUGGAAUCCAGUCGGCGAAAGGGCCUUGGGGUCGGUCAUGAAGCCUGGAUGGAGGAUUCUCUCGGGCUUUUCAUCAAGGAAACUUCAUUGCUUGACACCCCCCGGGGUCUCCAAUGCGUCAGCGUGAGAACUUAUAGGAGGGACUCUGAGGUGGCCUCCGCUGGAAAAAUAGGCCAGCCGCUUCUGGGCCAGGAAUCAAGUGUCGGAUUUCUAGCAUUCCGAGUCCUCCAUGUUUCUCUUCCCAGCACCCCUGAGGCAUCACCGCCUCGUGGAGGCAAGCCAAGGCUAUGCUCAGUCAGUCCUGGCUUUGUGUCUUACUAGCUCUGUAGUUUAGAGGAAGAUAUUUAAUCUUCUGGGGCAUCUUUUUCCUUAUCUUUUGAAAUGAGCAGAGUUAUGCUUCCUUUUAUCAGAUGCCAUGAGAUUAAGCAAAGCAAGUAAAAAUACCCAGAAGCAAGCCCAGCAGGUGAAGUGCUUGGUAAAUGGAGGAUAAUAAACCUGUGUUGUGGUUACACAGACCUCAUUAUUUCCAUUUUAUAGAUGAGAAAACUGAGGCUGAGAGGAAGCUGAGUUGCUUGCCCCAAGGGGCACAGCUUGCCACCCACAGGAAGUGCUGUGGGGUCCAGUGAGGGAAGGUCUAGCAUGCCUUAGCACCAAGCUACAACACUUGGGCCACAUUGUUUCCCUCUUAGCCCCAGAAUCUUGCUUUGCGAAACAGAGGUGAGUCCCCACCUUGCCCAUGUCAUAGGUCUCUCCUAAGGCAUGAGAGAAUGUUCUACAGCAUUUCCCUUGGAUGGGGGAGGAAUCGGCAAGUCUGAGCUGAUGCUAAACCCAUCCUCUACCUCCCCACCUUCUGCUUCCCCAGCCUUGAACCCCAUCAAGAACCUCCAGGACACCCCUCCCAGUGCCUUUCAGGGAGUGCCCUGUAAUUUGCUGAAUCAGGGAGGCUCAUGAGUCAUGGAAAGGCGGCGAUGAGAACAUGGCUGGCUCCUCCCCGAUGCCGGUGAGGGCCACCAUCAGCAUCCCUACUGCUGCUAGGGGGCUGCCUCUGUGAAAGGCCUUUCAUUUAUCUGAUAAGCAAUCCUCACCAUCACCAUCACCGUCUCGUGUCAUAGAGGAGAAUAUGGGAGUUCCAAGGGGUUAUGUAACUGCCCAGAGGACAGACAGCUGAUAGGAGCAAAGCUUGGAGCCAGUUUGUCUCAACUAAAAUUCUUCAUAGUUCCCUCUUAGUGUGGUUGUGGUGUAUUUGUGAAGGUGGGAGAAGGGUGCCCUGCUGUGUGUGUGUGUUGUCACAGGAGACAGGAAGGAUGGGCACCAUUUCUUCACUGUGGAAUCUUAGUGUAGCAAUAAAGAAUGCAAAGAUGGCUGCAUAAUGUCUCCUGUGCUUUGCACAUACUCCUGUGCCUAGGACCUUGAGAGGGGCAGGGUGUUUUUCCACCUCUUGUGAAUCAAGGUUUGCUUUGACCAGUAGAAUGCCCUGGAAAUGAUACAGUAUAACCUUCAAGUCUAUGCCUCAAGAGAGCUAGGAAGCUUCCAAUCUCACCUUCUCUGGAAUGUAUCACAGUGUUGAAGAGCCCAGGUGGCCUCCCUAAAGAGAGCAGACCACGCCUACAGAAAGACCUAGCCAACAGCCAGCAUCAAUUGUUGUCUAGAGAGUGAGGCACCUGGUGUCAUCCAGCUCUUAGCCUUUCUGCCAGGCUCCAAGCAAAAGCAGCAGCAGGAUCCCUCCCUCCUAACCCAGCCCAAACUGUUGAUGCACAGAGUCACAAGCAAACGCCAUGAUUAUUGUUUUAAGCCACUAAAUGUUGGUGUGGGUGUGGUGUGUUAUUUGGCAAGUGAUCAUUGAUAAAGUGAUUGACUUAUUUUCUCAUCUGUAAAGUGGGGAUGUGUGGGGAGCAACUCGGACUAGACUGUUACUGGAAUUAAGACUUAUUCUAUGCAUCUGCUCUCCCACAAUAUGGCGCUGGGAGAGAAGAAAACAGCUUCUACACAGCUGCCUCCGGUUCAGCCAAUAAACUGUAGGACUUGCUCCUGAUUGGAGGAGAGCAGCGAACUCGGCAUGUGGGCAGCCGAGUUGGGAUUGGCAGAGGAGGAUUAUAAAGGAGGAGAGAGACGGCAUGCACCAGGAACAUCUAAGGGGAACAUCUAAGGGAACACCUGUGCAGCCCCCGAGAGAGCCGGCCGGCGGUGUGCCGCUCCCCUGUGGAAGUGGGGAAUGUGGCCAGGGGGAACCGCCCUUCCACGGAGGUGGAAGGGACAGUAGCCAACCCGGGAAGAACCAGCAGCAAACCCGGGGAGGGCCGAGCAGACGAAAGAACAGCGCAGGGUCCUGUGUCGUUCCUCCACGAAGACGGGAAGCAACAUAAUGGUGCCGUGACUCGGAUAUGAAGCCUAGGCAGGGUUUAGUGUCGUUCCUCCACGAAGAGGGGGAGCGACAUAAUGGUGCCGUGACUCGGAUAGGAAACUUAGCAUGGAUAUGAAACUUAGGAGGGAAGAAACGGGAAGAAGUGGAAAAUAUCAGAGAGAGAGACUAGCAAACAGCCUAGGGAAAAGCCGGACAAAAAAGGUGCCGGAAGAAGCUAAUGGUGCCGUGACUCGGAUAUGAAGCCUAGGCAGGGUUUUGUGUCGUUCCUCCACGAAGAGGGGGAGUGACAGGGAUGAUAUUCACAUCGUACUUGAUCAACUUGUAACCAUGAGUAGGCAAGUUGAAGCCUGAGAAUGCCUGAACCCUGAGUCUGGCACAGUUAGCAGCACCCGCACUGAAGGCUUGAACUACUGGUGUGAGCAGCUCUGCUGAGGGCCCCUGAAGCGAGGGACAGGAGGCAAGCCCUUCAGUGGGUAGAGGAAGCAUGGAUGGAGAGGGCAUCCCUGGACAAGAAUGAAGUAAGGCUCACAGCAAAUCAGUGAUGUGGCGGAGAUAGUCAGCAUCUGGCUGGAGUUGUCUUGGUUACAGAGCUAUUAGGCCACCCUGAGUUUGGCUGGAAGCCCAGGAUUGUGGAGGUUUGAGCCAAGUUGAUGCAAUACCAAAACGUCCCUGAGAUCAUGGAGGCCUCAGGUUCCAUGGCCAACGUGAGGGUCUAGUGACUAAGGAACUGCCGAGGUGGAAGUGUCUCCAUAGCAUCUCAGGUUCAGGCCUGAGCAUGUCCUCGCUCUGCUGAGUACCUUUUCAUAGCCCCCACCCCCCCAGGAGGAAGUCCAGACUGCAGAUCCCAGCUUCUGCCCGACUGCAGCCUGAGCUGCCGAGGGUUGCGUUCAGCUCCACCACUGCCCUUUGCCUUCAUAUUCUAGCGCACCCCCAGACUCUGGGGUGGACCGCAUCUCUGCUCACCUCGGGGUCUCAGCACAAGCUGCGCCCUUCUUGAAUGCUCUUACUCCGCCUUCCUCUGCUUCACCUGGAGAACCCCCACAUCCUUUAGAAGAUCAGCUGAAACAUCCCUUUCUCCAGGGAGCAUCCUUGAUCCCCCAAAUCUGGGUUUGUCUCUCCUCCUCAGGCCUCCCCUGGCACCCUGCCCUUCCCUGCCCCUCGUCACUGUGACUGUUGGUCUCCAGGAUGAGUGAUCUAAGAACACAAGGACGGAAGUUUCUUUAGCCACCUCUGUAACCCCACCACCAAAAUCGGUGCUAGCACACAGUGUGCAUUAAAUACGCCUUCCUUCUGUGUAAACGAUAAAUGGGUGAGUUGAGUGAAGUCUUGGAGAUAAACAUGACAGCAACAAACAGGAAAUGAGGACAAGGUGGUAGAUACCAUCUUGAUAAGGAUCAUAGACUUAUGAGGACGUGUGUGAGUUUCUCAGGGGAUGGGGGUGUCUAGAUGAAAUGGCCUACUUAUGAAAGGCUGGUUGCCCCGGGGGUGGGGUGGGAAGGCACCCAGAGGCCUCUCCUGAUCUAUGAGAGCUCUGGUUAGGGGAACUCCGUUGAGUUGGGGAUUGAGGAGUAGCCUUUGUAAGCAUCAGAAGAGGCAAUAGUGUUGGGUAGUUGGACUCACUUUGACAUCAGACGCCAAAUGUCAGUAAUGGCAUACAGCAGAGCUUUGCAACAUAGGACGUGCUUGACUUCCCUCCACUUUGUGAGUAAGGAUGCAGGUUUCUGCCAACUUGGGGCUCCAUCAACCCUUAGGACUUUGGAGUCCCCUGCUCCCAGCUGAUUGAAGAGAAAGAUGCAGAGGAGAACUCGCAGAGGCAUCUCCUCUGUUCAUCUUCCAGGGGAGACAACUAGUCAUCGUAUCGCCCUAUGUGUGAGAAUGGGAAGUGUUGUCUCUGGUUGGGUGGCCUGGUUAGGUGACCACUUCCCAGUGUUAGUGCGACAGUGAUGAAGGGGGGGCUUGAAUCUCUGGUGGGAAAAUGCACUCUCUGGCAGAUUGAAGGUCUACAAACCUCCAGGUGCUCAUCUGUAAAAUGAGGGCAGAAGUAAACUUCACAAAAGUCUUGGGAUUCUUGCUGAAAUGGGAUGAAAGAUAAAACCCUUAGCAAGUGCCAGGCCUUAGCUUGGUGUUGCUUAAGCCUCUGCUUGUGACACCAGUGUCCCAUAUUGGACCACUCGUUCAAGGCCUGGCUGCUCUGUUUCCAAUCCAGUUUCCUGCCAAUAUGCCUGGAAAAUCAGUGGAAGGUGAUGGGCCCCAACCACCCACAUGGUGUGCCAGGAUGGAGUUCCUGGCUCCUGACUGGCCUGGCCCAUUCCUUGCUGUUUAGGCCAUUUGAAGACAGAACUAGCAGCAGGAAGGUUGAUUCUCUUUCUGUGUCAUUCCGUCUUUUAAAUAAGUAAAUCUUUACAAGGGAAAUAAAUACUUGACAAAUAAUACCUUUUUUAAGAGGCAAAGACAGAAAUCUGCCAUACGCUGGUUUACUCCCCCAAAUACCCACAGUGGCCUCUAUCCGGGAAUGGGAAUUCAGUCCAGGUCUCCCAUGUGGGUGCCUAGUUACUUAGGCCAUCUCUGCUGCCUCCCAGGGUCUGCAUUAGCAGAAAACUAGAGUGAGCAGCCAGAGGUGGGUAUCAUUGUGGCAUUCCAUUGUGGGAUGUGGGCAUCUUAAUGGCUAGGCUAAAUGUCUACUCCACGCUUUUUUAAAAAAAAAUUUUAUUAGUAGAAACACAGCUUGUCUGAAGGCAGUGGACAGAAGACAUCUGAAUUUUCUCUCUCCUUUUUUUGCUGCUUCUGCAGUUUGCACCAUUGUUUCAUCCUCUUUCUUCUUGCUGUCCUCUCCCCUCUCUCUCUCCCUCCUGUCCACUUGGGUCUCAGGACUCGCUUGGUGCCUCCAGAAUGUGUUGUCCCCAUCCUCAUCGAGUGGACUGUCUCUGCAGGCAGAUGCAGCUCCCGUCACCAGCUCACUCUCACUCCCCCUCCCUUUAUGUCCACAAGCCUCAAGCUUUUGACCUCAAGAAAGCACAUGGUACCAACCAAACCUGCCAAAGAGGCACUACCACCACCACUUCCCAACUUAGCCAGAGGAUAGUAGCGAGUGUUCCACGAACAGGAGUCAAGUAUAUUGGAGGAAUUCAGAGUGAAACAGCGGGUUUGCUUCCUCUUGCUGCUCUUUGGUUUUGUACUGUCAGUAUGCUCAUGAACGUCGGAAGUCCUUUGCUAAAUGACAUACUGCGUGUGGAGCGGCCCCUGGGUCAGUGAGAAAGGAGAUGCUUAGAACACAUAUCAAAAAUCGGAGUUCUUGUUUGUUUCGGCAGGGACAAGCUGGUUAGGAAUCUAGCUGAUGAUUUGUUGUCUUUUUUAAAAAAGACUUAUUCAUUUAUUUAUUUGACAUGCAGCCUGACAGAGAAUCUUGAUCCAUUGGUUCCCUCCCCAAAUGACUGCAGUGGUUGGAGCUGGUAUAGGCCAAAGCUAGGAGCCAGGAACUCCGUCUGGGUCUCCCACAUGAGUGGCAGGGGACCAAAUACUUGGGCCAUCUUUUGCUGCUUUCCCAGUCCUGUUAGUAAGGAGCUGGAUUGGAAGGGGAGAAGCUGCGACUUGAACUGGAGCUCUUACAUGGGAUGCUGGCGUCACAAGCAGUGGCUAACUCAGCUACAUAACAGCUUUAUUCCCAGAUUUUGUUUUUAAAACUAAUUCCAUGCUUUUAUGGAAAUGCUACUAUUGGGCUUUGGAGGCAGCCUUUUGCAGGUUACAUCGUGUAGAUUUAAAAGCCGGUAGAGUGGCUGCUUUUGUCCCCAAAUCUCAACUCAGGUCACUAAAAUCAGAAAAAUUCAGGCAUCCGUUCAAGGUGAUGCUGUUGGUGAGCAGCAAAGCCAAAACCUGGGGAUGGCUGUGCUUUUCAUGCCAUCAUUAAAUAUUGGGGUCUUGCAACAUGCAAGGCAUUUCUUCAUACCACGUGAUAAAUGCUUUUGGUUUAUUUUCUUUAACUUCUUUUGUUGGCUUACAAAUGCAGACCUUCUUGAUUGAGACCAGUGGUUUUCACCCAGGGUAACUUUGCCCCCCAGAGGACAUUCAGCAACAUCUGGAGAUACUUUGAGUUGUCACAAUGGGAGAGUGUUGGCACCUAGUGAGGAGAGGCCAGGAUGCAUCUAAACAUCUUGCAAUGUCCAGGACAGACCCGUAGAACAACGAUCCAGCCCUGGAUGUCAACAGCAAUGAGGCUGAGAAACCUCACUUAGAGGGAGAUCACUUUUAAAAACCAUCAUAACGCAAAAGCCUGCAGGGGCCAGUUAGGUGGUAUCAGUGGAUGGCUAAUCAGACGUGCCCAGCUCUGUUGAAAAGGAAGGAGCAGUGGCUAAUUGGAUCCCACAGAUUGCUGCUUCGUGGGAUCUGUGGCAUAUGCAGCCAGACGGCUGGCUCGUUCCACUUUUCAAGGCAGAAAUCCAAAUUUUAAUGUGAAAUAUUCAACUCUUAAAUGUUGAUGACUCAUUUGAGUAUUUUUUAAUGAUAUGUCAAACAAAACACAUCUGGAAGCAUGAUGUCGACAGCUGGGAGUGCCUACCCAGCGUUGAGCCAAUGUUAGGUGUUUCAAAUGGCACUGGCCCUGCACUUCCUUGCUUUAACCUCAGACUUAUUCCAGUGUCCCUGUCCUUGUCCCUUUCCCCUCCUCGCCAUCAUUUACUGAACUCUUACUACGUUAGGUGGUACAUCCUCUACUAAGCACUCCAUAGUGUUAGUCUGUUUUAUUUUUUACGAGAACCCCAGGAGGAAGCAUGUAAUUCUCCCAUCUUAAAGACAGAGGGUUCAGAGACACAAGUUAUGCAACUUUCCCAAGGUCAGAGUUGCAAGUGGCAGUCCUGGGAUUUGAACCCCAACAGUCUGGCUCCGGAGCCUGUGUCCUUACCUGCUAAGCCAGGCUGCCCUGAAAAAGAUGCUGCAUUUCUUAGACUCCACGAUGGGCGUCACAGUACUCAUGGGUCUACCGCUCUGGUCAGCAGGGAUUCCCCAGGUGUUCAGAACCUCAGUCCCUCUACUGAAAGCCAUGGUUUUCAAAGGAGGUGAUUUGGCAAUGUGUGGAAACAUUCUGGUUAUCACCAAUAGAAAGUGGGGAAGGCUAUUGGCAUCUCAGGGGAGGGACCAGGGACAGAUCUCCAUAACAAAGAACUCUCUGGCCCCAAGUUCAACAGCAUCAAGACUGAGCAACCCUGACCUGCAGAUGUAACUGGCAGGAUGUAAAAAGCAACCAGCAUAAUAUUUCAGGUGACUAAAUCUGUUCUCCUGGGACGCCACUCUAUUCCUCUCUCCAUAGCAUUCCAUCUUCUCUUGCCCUGGAGUUUCAUGGCAGUCCCAUCCCCGUGUACUAAAUGCCCACACUGAAGAAGAAUCUCCCAGAACUCUCUUAAGUAUUAGCUUUAGCAAAGUAAGUAAAAAAUGGAAUAAUGAACAAGAGGCCAAAGAAAAAUGAGCAGUAAAGCACAAAGUCCCUGAGAUUCAACGAUGGCAUCAUCUGCGUGCCUACAAACACUAGUAUCCUUUCUGGAUGCUCUAGGGCACAACCCGUGCCCAGUGAACUCGUGCUUCAGGGAACAUUUUCUCUGCUGAACACACACACGUGACUGCGUGGGAUUUCAUAAAAUGAUUUUAAUAGAAAAGUACAAGAUAUGAACAAAAAUAAAUAAUCUUUAUCUCAUUUCCAGCCCAGCAAAUUGUACACUGCAUAUAAAAAUUGUCUAAGAUGCAAUUUUCCCUCCAUUUAUUUUUCCUUUAGAAAUACCAAGACAGCAUUUUAAUUCAAUCUUCUAGUUUCCAACUGAUAUACUUUUUAAAACUCACAUCAACUUUUAAUUCUACAGCCAUAUCUUCAAGUUGCCUAACACGAUGAUGCUUCAUUAAAACAAAGUAUUAUCCAAUCAUGAGAUUUAGGUGUAAAGUUUGUGUGACCAGGUGAAUUAGAAGAUCCCUUUUUUUGAGUUUUAUUUCAUGCCUCUAGAUGUUUCCCAGAUGAAUCAUUUAUUUCAUCUUUGCAAACAUAUCCUCUCCUUUCCCCCACUCCAUAGAGAAGAGACUAGAAAAUAAUUUCUUAAAAAAAUAAAUACUUUAAAAGUCUACAGUGAUAUUGCAGUAUUUUAGACCUGUGCCCUGGUGCUCAUUUGCAUUAAAUAUAUGCUUCAAGUUGUCAGUACCUUUUCUACCUGCCUCUAUUCAUAGGACGGGCCACUUUGUCUUUGGGGGCUGUUUUUGCUGACGAUUUCUUAGAGUCAGCUGGUACUGAUCUUUGAUUUGGAGUACUUACUCUGCUUUAGCAUCGUAUUUGAUCAUUUCAGUGACUUGAGUAGUGUUAAACUGAAAAUUGGGAUUGGCAAAAUCAUCUAAGAGUCCGGAGAGGCUGCUAACACUUAGUGCCAGUCUCAGGAGGUCAGUAGCUCGUGGAACUGAACAGACUGGAUUGAAACUCGAAACAUCUUCCUUUGACAGAAGCCCGUAGGGACGAUUUUGAACGUGGCUCUGUUUGUUGCUGCCUGUAUGUAACAUUUUUGUGUUGUUGUGGUUGUUAAUUUUCCUGUAUUGGGAAGAUGGUAAAUGCACUCCAGGAUGAGAAGAAAAAAUAUGCUGACACUGCUAAAUUGAGUAUAUAUUUUUGCAAUAAAGAACACUGGUCAAUAUACAACUGAGGAAAAACUGAACCAGAUGUGAGUCCUAGAACCACAAGCGUUUGAAUUUGCCCAGAAAUGCUAUUUUAAACACUCUGUAUGUUGGUCUCCUGGUUUUUUGUGGAAUAAUGCAUUCUUGGCAUCCUUCGAAGGCUUCAACAUGUUACAAGGUUAUCCGGAAAGGGAAAAGGGGAGAAAAAAAAAAAAAGCGAAGGG